Molecule: long non-coding RNA, 1212 nt
Filed under: Sparus aurata (gilthead seabream)
Lineage: Eukaryota; Metazoa; Chordata; Actinopteri; Spariformes; Sparidae
Description: lncRNA (ENSSAUG00010010756.1)
Source: RNAcentral
AAAUAAAUAUAGAUUAUAGGCUAUUUUUACCUGACAGACAGCUGCUGCUGCUGCUGAUGCACUUGUAUCUGUUCAGAUGAAGUAUCAUGCUUAAAGCUAGGGUCUGUAAUGUUGUUCAGAAACACAUUUUGUUAUACUGGGUGAAAUGAUCCUGCUAUCCUGAGAGUAGUCAAUACAUUAUGUAUUCAGAAAAAGGAAAUAAUCGGACCUCUGUGGCAGCUGCAGGACUGAGAAAAAUCUGACCAAUCCGUGCCAUCGGCCGGAUAGCAAGGAUUGGUCAGAUGCACGGAUUGAUCAGAAGCCGAAUGUCUCGUCCUCUGUCCCUCCCUCCUCCGAGCGUGCACACGUUACAUUUCACUGAUGCCAGAAAUAUUCAGCACACUCCUCUGCAGAAAUACGGAGUUACAGGAGAAGACGUUCAUUUGGUUACAAUGGCAGAGAAAAUGCAGCCAGCGUUACUUGUAACCGCUCACCUCGCUAAAAAGGCAAGGAAAAGAAAGCCUGAGGCAGAAAAGGCUGCCACGAAAAAGGCUCUGGAUAAAGAAAGAAGUGGUAUGGAGUCAACAUCGGUGCAGCGUUUGAGCAGUGGAGACAACUGGGGCAUGUGAAGGGCUUGAGAAGUGAUGCAGAGGUUGCUCUCUUUCUGUUGGACAGUUUCAAGACCAUGCCUCAGAUGAAGAGUUGGGUUUCUCCUCAGCCCAGAGAAUGAAGUUGACGGAUGAUAAUACUGGUCAUGGCAUGGCACCUGGAAUGAAUGAAAUCAUGUCGUCCCUUCACGACCUGCCAGAAAUGAUUAAAUUAAUGAGGGAGUGUGUGGAGUGUGUCCGGGCAUUGAUGUCCUCGUUUAGGGGGACCCCUUCAUCUGCAGUGUCAUCAUCUUCUGUGGACAGUGAAAUUGAAAUGCACCCCUUGGCAGGCAGCACAGUGACAGUUUCAAAGAGGGCCUUCCUGCGGCUGAAUAGAUCUCGCAUGACCAUUUUUGCCCAGGAGCUGGCUGUCCUGGUAUUCACAAAGGAGGGCCUUGCACAGUCCACCCUAACUGGAAAGUCUGGGAGGGGGGGACCGCCAAAAACACAGUUUGAUGUUGACAAAGUGCAGGCUAUUACAGACGCUGUUCUUCUGGAGUUUCCACAGACAAGUGUCUCUGAUGUGGGCGCGGCCAUCAGACGAAAGUGUAACAAUGAGCAGUUCAGACAAAAAAAAGGAACUUAA